GAGUUUGAUUAUGGCUCAGGAUGAACGCUAGCGGCAGGCCUAACACAUGCAAGUCGAGGGGUAGAGUGCUUCGGCGCUUGAGACCGGCGUACGGGUGCGUAACGCGUGUACAAUCUACCUUUUGCUAAGGGAUAGCCCGAAGAAAUUUGGAUUAAUACCUUAUAGUAUUAUUUGGUGGCAUCAUUAAAUAAUUAAAGCUACGGUGGCAAAAGAUGAGUACGCGUCCCAUUAGCUAGUUGGAGUGGUAACGGCACACCAAGGCUACGAUGGGUAGGGGUUCUGAGAGGGAUGUCCCCCACACUGGUACUGAGACACGGACCAGACUCCUACGGGAGGCAGCAGUGAGGAAUAUUGGACAAUGGUCGGAAGACUGAUCCAGCCAUGCCGCGUGCAGGAUGACGGCCUUAUGGGUUGUAAACUGCUUUUGUAUGGGAAGAAUAAGGUCUACGUGUAGAUUGAU
Molecule: ribosomal RNA, 460 nt
Filed under: Capnocytophaga cynodegmi
Lineage: Bacteria; Pseudomonadati; Bacteroidota; Flavobacteriia; Flavobacteriales; Flavobacteriaceae
Description: bacterial SSU rRNA
Rfam family: Bacterial small subunit ribosomal RNA
Source: RNAcentral